RNAcentral lists this ribosomal RNA (406 nucleotides) under uncultured bacterium. RNAcentral describes it as "partial 16S ribosomal RNA". It matches the Rfam family "Bacterial small subunit ribosomal RNA", at positions 30 to 526 of the family's 1533-position model. The record is from RNAcentral.
AUUGAACGCUGGCGGCAAGCCUAACACAUGCAAGUCGAACGAGUGGCGGACGGGUGAGUAAUGUCUGGGAAACUGCCUGAUGGAGGGGGAUAACUACUGGAAACGGUAGCUAAUACCGCAUACCAUCGGAUGUGCCCAGAUGGGUUGAGCUAGUAGGUGGGGUAAAGGCUCACCUAGGCGACGGUCCCUAGCUGGUCUGAGAGGAUGACCAGCCACCCUGGGACUGGGACACGGUCCAGACUCCUACGGAAGGCAGCAGUGGGGAAUAUGGCACAAUGGGCGCAAGCCUGAGGCAACCAUGCCGCGUGUCUGAAGCAGGCCUUCGGGUUGUAAAGUACUGUCAGCGGGGAGGCGUUACCCGCAGAAGAAGCACCGGCUAACUCCGUGCCAGCAGCCGCGGUAAUUC